This 253-nucleotide ribosomal RNA is filed under the name uncultured bacterium. RNAcentral's name for it is "partial 16S ribosomal RNA". It matches the Rfam family "Bacterial small subunit ribosomal RNA", at positions 524 to 776 of the family's 1533-position model. The record is from RNAcentral.
UACGAAGGGGGCUAGCGUUGCUCGGAAUCAUUGGGCGUAAAGAGCGUGUAGGCGGUCCGGUAAGUCCGCUGUGAAAGUCGGGGGCUCAACCCUCGAAUGCCGGUGGAUACUGUCGGGCUAGAGUGCGGAAGAGGCGAGUGGAAUUCCUGGUGUAGCGGUGAAAUGCGCAGAUAUCAGGAGGAACACCAAUGGCGAAGGCAGCACUCUGGGACGUGACUGACGCUGAGACGCGAAAGCGUGGGGAGCAAACAGG